This 253-nucleotide ribosomal RNA is filed under the name uncultured bacterium. Its description in RNAcentral is "partial 16S ribosomal RNA". It matches the Rfam family "Bacterial small subunit ribosomal RNA", at positions 524 to 776 of the family's 1533-position model. The record is from RNAcentral.
UACAGAGGGGGCCAGCGUUAUUCGGAAUUAUUGGGCGUAAAGGGCGCGUAGGCGGCUUUGCGUGUCUUUCGUGAAAUCCCUCGGCUCAACUGAGGACGUGCGGAAGAAACUGCAGGGCUGGAGUCCGGGAGAGGAGGGUGGAAUUCCCGGUGUAGUGGUGAAAUGCGUAGAUAUCGGGAGGAACACCAGUGGCGAAGGCGACUACCUGGCCCGGUACUGACGCUGAGGUGCGAAAGCGUGGGGAGCAAACAGG